GAUACAUUCUAUUUUUAAACCUCAUCAAUUUCAUUAAGAAUAGGAUCACAAUUAUGGUUAACACACACAUGUUCCAGAAACACUUCCACGUGCUUUACCUGUAGUAACUGUUUUAAAUUCUCAGGUGAGGAAUUUGACCACCCUCAUUUAACUAGCAAGUGGCAGAGUCAGAACUUGAGCAAAACAUUUUGGCUCUGCAGUCUGUGCUUUGAACCUUAAGGCUGUACUGACCAGGUUGCCUUAUCACACUCUUCUGCAACACCAUUUUUAGGUACUACUCAGCAUUCCAUUGCUUGGAUAAAUAAUAAUUACUUCAUAAAUCUCCUAUGAGUGGACAUCUAGCCCAUUGGUAUUUUCUCCCUACUAAGCAAUGUUAAGCUCUACCACCCUGAAAGCGCCCGAUCCCAUCCAAGCAAUGUUGAGCUGAAUCUAAUUAGAGCCCAUUUUUGUGCCAUCUGAUGAUCUCCCUAAAUUAAGGAUGUGCAUUUUUACCAUGGCUACUUAGAGGUGUUAUGUAGCACUCCCCACCCUCCUGCAUCUAGGGCAGGCCUCAAACAAGGCUGCAGCUCCAUCUUGCUCUGACAUUUCUCCACUGGCACCCACCAAGGUGUUACAUUUCCUGUCUUGAGGUUUCACAUCCUGCCCCUUAAACCACCCACAGUGCUCCACCCUUUGGGGUUCCGUAGGAAACAUCUCACACAAACACUCACUGAGCCAUGUGUCUCAGGCCAACAAACUUCUAAUCUAGCAGUGGGGGAAUACAGGGGUAACAAAUUACAUCAAUUACAAGUUGAUAUCACUAACUGAUGCUGGCUGGAAGCAUUUCUCAGCUUUCCUGGCACUGCCACUUUUAUCUCCUUUCAAUGACUCUCCAUUUCCUGACCUUACACUGUCCUUUUUCUUAGGUUGAACCACAAGGACCUGCUGACCUACAAAACCACUUGACCUACAAAAAUGGAAAUUUCACCUGGUUCCAUCUAACAAGGCUGAGAUGUUUAUUUCCCCAGUGGAGAACAUGGCAACAAUUUGUCAUGCUGGGAAGCUAUUCAAACAUCUGUUAAACCUUUCCUAUAUUGAGGGAAAUGUCCACCUUUUAAAUCCUGGUUUCCAGAGCAUUAUGCCAGAAACUCACUUUCCCUGACUUCCUUGAGACUAAAAUAAAUGAAUGUGCCCCUGUUUCCUCCAGUCAGAUGCAAGAUUUUUGAUGCAGCAGAGAACAACAGGAAGAGCUAUUCUGCCUUUGAAGAGAGGUGGGGGCUGAAAUGGGGAGAAAAAUCUAGGGUGCUUUAAAGUUCUAUUUCCUCACCAGGAUGGCUGAUUAUAUGAAAGCUUGCUAUGUAAUAAUUCUUUUAGAUUUUGUGCAUUUUUUGCAUGGGUGCUAUUCUUUCUUUCUUUCUUUCUUUUUGUCUUUUUAUAUUUUUAGAGCCGCACCAGCAGCACAUGGAGAUUCCCAGGCUAGGGGUCUAAUCGGAGCUAUAUCCUCCGGACUAUACCGUAGCUCACAGCAAUGCCGGAUCCUUAACCCACUGAGUGAGGCCAGGGAUUGAACCCACAACCUCAUGGUUCCUAGUCAGAUUCGUUUCUGCUACACCAUGAUGGGAACUCCCUGCAUGGGUGCUAUUCUUUUUUUAAAAAAAAUUUUAUUAUAGUGGAUUUACAAUGUUGUGUCAAUUUCUGCUGUACAGCAAAGUAACCCAAUUACACAUAUAUACAUAUACAUUCUUAUUUUCACAUUAUCAUCCACCAUGUUCUAUCACAAGUGAUCAGAUAUACUUCCUUGGGCUAUACAGCAGAAUCUCAUUGCUUAUCCAUUCCAAAUGCAACCCAUGUUCAUUGCAGUACUAUUCACAAUAGCCAAGAUGUGGAAACAACCGAAAUGUCCAUUGACAUGAAAAAAUUAAGAAGAUGUGGUCCAUGUAUACAAUGGAAUACUACUCAGCCAUAAAAAAGAAUGAAAUAACAGCAUUUGCAACAACAUGGUUGCAACUAGAGAUUCUCAUACUAAGUGAAAGAAGUCAGAAAGAGAAGAACAAAUAUCAUAGGAUAUCACUUUUAUGUGGAAUCUAAAAUAUGGCACAAACGAACCUAUCUACAAAGGAGAAACAGACUCACAGACACAGAGAACAGACUUGUGGUUGCCAAGGGGGAGGGGGAGGGGGAGGAAGUGGAAUGGAGUGGGGGUUUGGGGUUAAAAAAUGCAAACUGUUACAUUUAGAAUGGAUAAGCUAUGAGGUCCUGCUGUGUAGCACAGGGAACUAUAUCCAAUCACUUGUGAUAGAACAUGAUGAAAGGUAAUAUGAGAACAAGAAUGUAGGAGUUCCUGUUGUGGCACAGUGGAAAUGAAUCCAACUAGUAUCCAUAAAGAUGAGGAUCAGUGGGUCAGGGAUCUGGUGUUGCCAUGAGCUAUGGUGCAGGUCUCAGACACAGCUCGGAUCCUGAGUUGCUGUGGCUGUAGCAUAGGACUAUAGCUGUAGCUCUGAUUUGACCCCUAGCCUGGGAACUUCCAUAUGCCAAAGGUGUGGCCCUAAAAAGCAAAAAUAAUAAUAACAAUGUGUGUGUGUGUUUUAUAUAUAUAUAUGACUUGGUCAUUAUGCUACACAGCAGAAAUUAGCACAGCACUGUAAAUCAACUACACUUUAACCAAAAAAAUUUUUAAAAGACUGGUUGGGACCCCUGACACUCCAACCUGGCAUGCACAGGUAUUCACUCAGUGACCUUUUGAAAUGACAAGGCCAAAAACUGCAUCCUCAGAUUGUGCUAAAUGCCUCCAUUUUUUAACAUAUGGAGGCCUGUAGUGUAGUUACAUGUGCGUGGAACACAAGUACCAUAGCUUUUCUCAAUUACCUUUUCUCACACUCCCUGUGCCUCAGACUGUCCUGCUUUCUUUUUUCCCCAGGCCCUGGCCUCCAGGGAGGCAGAUGUGAGAUUUGUUCUCCCAUCUCCAUGGUUGGCUGCCUGGUGAAUAAAUGCUUUCUUUGCUGCAAACCCUGGUGGCUCAGAGCUUUGGCCUUCAAAACUUAGUUUGCUAACACUCUAAUCGACUAUUUUUACCUCCUCUGAAAAUCAUAAAUUUUCCUACAUUAAUCCCCACUAUUUUUCCUUCCCUCACUGCACCCCAGAAAAUACAUGUGGACACACCAUCACCACCGCAACCCAGGAUACCCAGGAAUGUGUAAAAGUUGUGACACACUCAAGUGUCACUGGAAGGUAACCUUCCCGGGCAGAGAUGUUUGUCUCGUGUUCAGUUGCUCCAUCACAGCAUCUAGAAUGGUGCCCAGCGCAUAUUAAGUACCCAGUCGAAAUCUGUAAAAUGAGCAAGUACCCUGCCCUCAAAUGCUUUUGUCUGUUUGUUCAUCCAUCAAAGAACCAGUGCUUUUGGAGAGUGACAUGCUGGUAAAGGCUCUGGGCUGCGUGUAGGGGAUGUCAACGUGCUUAAGGCACAGGUCUGCCCAUGAACAAUUCGGAAUGAACCGCUUACUCCAGAAAUAUUGCUACCAACCCUCAGAAUAUAUUUUGUCAUCUCUAUAAGCCCACCUGGAACUUCUCUUAAUGAAGAUGAGGGACAGUGCAGGUAGGAGGGGUGGUGUUUUGUUUAGUUUAGUUUAGUUUUGUUUUGUUUUAAUCAAGAAGGAAUGGGAGUUCCUGUCGUGGCGCAGUGGUUAACGAAUCCGACUAGGAACCAUGAGGUCGCAGGUUCGGUCCCUGCCCUUGCUCGGUGGGUUAACGAUCCAGCGUUGCUAUGGCUCUGGCGUAGGCCGGUGGUUACAGCUCCGAUUAGACCCCUAGCCAGGGAACCUCCAUAUGCCAAGGGAGCAGCCCUAGAAAAGUCAAAAAGACAAAAAAAAAAAAAAAGAAGGAAUGAAGGAAUGUCUUCCCUCCAUUGAUCUCAGUUUCAGGCCAGACAGGAAGGAAGUAGCAAUAAUGCAGGAUGGUGGAUGAGAUAGUCAGGAAUGUACCCAUGUGUUUGGUCUAUGCUAGUGCCUUGACUCAAUGGUUGCGAACCAACUUUGACUAUGAGUAAGGCAAUAUCAGGGGCAGGGGGUGACCAGUAAUCAGACCUUUUCACACUCGCCAGUGGCUUUUCUGCCUGCUGUAUGAUCUGGCCUCUAUAUGGUCCUCACCCCUGUAUGAUUUGGCCUUGCCUGCAUCUCUGACCACCCUCAGACCUCCUCCUCACCAACUCUAUGCCCUCCAACAUUAAGCUUGUCCCACCUGUGGUCCAUUCUUCAAUCAGUCCCUCUUCUAGAAUGUUCUCUCCACUGAUGUUGUUUUUAUUGGUUCCUUUUGUAUCAUUGAAAAUCAACUUAAAUGAGUUCCCUUGGCCACCCAAACAAAGGUAGUCCUUUCACCAUUUCUUUCCGUGUGUGGCAAUUUGGGAUGUUUUCAUAUCUGGCAUUUUUCUUGUGUUUAUCGUUCAUCCUCCAUCUUCUUCCCUUCUCCCUUAUUUCCUUCCUUCUCUCUCUCUCUUUUUGUCUACCUUCUCCACUAGAUUCUUAGCUCCAUGAAAACAAAAGCUUUUUGGAUCCAAUUCACUGGAGUCCAAGACAAUGCUUCACAUGCAACAGACACACAAUACACAUUUGCUUAAAGGAAACAUUUAUCUAGAUCUUUGAAAGCUGAGGCUGACAUCACUCCCUUCCAGGAUAGACUAUUACAUGCCAUGUGUUGAGCAAUUUUGGCAGAAUUUUCACAGUCUCAUGGAAACCACAUGUAAGGUAAAAUCUAAGCUUCCUGAGAAAAGUAUGUAUUGAUAUUAUGAUCUGGGCCAUCACUGGCUAACGGAAUGUGAAAAUAAGUGGCCCAUAUAAGGUAAUGGCUAAAAUUCAAGGUGACUAAGAAAUAAGUCAGCAUUACAUUAUUCGGAGCAUUGAAUAUAUCCUUUGUUAAUGUGAAAAUUUUUAAAGUUUGAUGUCCUUCAGACACAGCUCAGGGAACAAUCAUCAAAUAAACAUGCUCCCCUUUCUAAAUGUUCUCCCACACUCUGCUGCACUUAACCCUCAUAGCAGUCCUCGAGAAGGGCCUAUUCCUCAUCACCAUUUUGCAGAUGAAAAAACUAAGCUUAGUGAAAUCAAGCAAUUUGCUCAAAGAUACAGAGCCAAGCCUACCUUCAGAGCAAUUAGGAAUUGUUACCAGGGUUAGAAAUGAGCAACAAGGAGUUCCCAUUGUGGCUCAGUGGGUUAAGAACCCAACGUGGUGAUCAUGAGGAUAUGGGUCUGCAGCUUUGAUUUGACCCCAAGCCCAGGAACUUCCAUAUGCCACAGGUAAGGUUGUAAAAGAAAAAAAGAUAGAAAGAAAUAAAUGAGCAAGAAUAAUAAAGCAUGUGGGUUAAGAGGAAUCCUUGAGACAUUUUUUUUAAUUGCUUUUUUUUUUUUGGUUUACAGCACAACUCCAGAAAAAAAUUCUAAGCCACUCCAAGGUCAGAAGACGAUGACUCUGUUCCCAGCUCUGCAGCCAACCAGCUGUGCAGCUAUGACAGUGAAUGAGUCUUUCGAGAUUAUAGAUGAGAAAGACCACAGACGGUAUGAAAGAGUCUAUUUGGCUCAAGAUAUUUUUCAGCAAAAUGCUCAGACUCUAAAAGCUCCUGGUGCAUUCCUGGUUGCUUUUAAAACAUCAGCCUAAUCAAACCAACAGCAGCUAAGUGAGAGAGAAAAAGAGUCUGAGAUACUUACAAGAUGAUUUGGCAAUAAAUAACAGAAAAGACCUAGAAGAAUAUUAUUCUGCUGUUAAAGUUAUUCUGAGGCCAUUUUGCACAGAAUUUUUUAAACAUUAGGUAAUUUUUUAAACAUUCACAUAUAGUUAUAAAAGCAUUGGGUAGAAAGAAUUCACAUUCUAAUUGUUUCCAAAGUGUCAUGUUCAACAUUGGGUAGGACACACAAAAGAUGCCAAGAGAGCAUUUGCCUUGCCAGUGAGAUUAGUAGAACCAACACAGGAAACCAUCCAUCCAAAGAGUCAUCCCAAUCAUCACAAUAAUGAAUUAAUAACUUGAAAGUUUAUAUUUUCUGAAAGCUUCUGCUUAAGUCAGAGAGUCAUCAGAGCUUUAUUUCCAGAACAAUGGAACAGGGAACUUUGUUUUCCUUCUGGCCAGGCUAAAUGGGGCGGUUCUCAGGAUCUUAGAUUCACAGAUUAUUUUUAUGAGGGCUUAAGAAAGAGAAACAAGGAGUUCCCAUUGUGGCACAGUGGUUAACGAAUCUGAC
Molecule: long non-coding RNA, 6194 nt
Filed under: Sus scrofa (pig)
Lineage: Eukaryota; Metazoa; Chordata; Mammalia; Artiodactyla; Suidae
Description: lncRNA (ENSSSCG00050036118.1)
Source: RNAcentral